GUUCAAAAAUCAGAUUUGACUGAUAACACAUGGAACUUCAAUCCAUUGCUCUACCAUUGAGCUAUAAUGA
This 70-nucleotide transfer RNA is filed under the name Plasmodium berghei. RNAcentral's name for it is "tRNA-Phe". The record is from RNAcentral. Lineage: Eukaryota; Apicomplexa; Aconoidasida; Haemosporida; Plasmodiidae.